RNAcentral lists this unclassified non-coding RNA (1130 nucleotides) under Hevea brasiliensis (rubber tree). Lineage: Eukaryota; Viridiplantae; Streptophyta; Magnoliopsida; Malpighiales; Euphorbiaceae. The record is from RNAcentral.
GGGCCUUUGAGCUCAUAUUUAAACCAAAAAAAUAUAAAAAAAAAAGAAAUUGUAAUUUUAUUUUAAUCAGCAUUAUUUAUUUUUUUUUUCUAUUUUUUCCUUUUUUUUUUCUUUCCCUUCUAAAACCUUUCAAUCUGAAAUGGGCUGAGCCGAUUCAUGGGCCUAAGCCUACUCAUUCAGAUUGGGUUCUAAUACAGAAAAACCUCGACACUGGAAUUUCUUACUUGGAGACAAAGUGGGCAAGCUUGCGCCGUUUGGUCACAUUCUGUACAGAGACACAGAUGCCGACACGGCAGCACCACCACAGNCGCUUGCACCUUGGCCCAGCCGUCACCGUUACCCUCUCCGGAUCAACGUACGCUGACUCCGCAUCCUCCGCUUGUCCAUCUACUCCCCCAGAGCAUCCUAUCCCGCCUUCGUCCCCUCUCCUGUUAUCCUGCGUCACCAUUCCUCCGCUCAUUAUCGCCUGCUGCAGUUGCCUGCAGCGAUGCAGCCGUAGCCUCUUGUGCCCUAGCCUUUGCCUGCCAAACCUGUGCCUCCACGCUGAGUUGGGCGGCGCGUGCCUCUAAUUCGGCGUUACGUCGAGUGGCUUUUUCGACUUCGGCUUCUUUCUCUUUCAAUCGCCUGGUUAUUGAUUCCUCCGCUACGCUCAGCAGCGCACGAUAGUGCCUCUUCCUCUUAUCGGCUAAUGUGCGCCUCAAAUGCUCUCCCUGAGCUUGAAGGAAUUGAUCUAUCUCAUCUCUUUGGCGUUUAAUUUGGGUGGCAAAAUCUUCUGAUAAUAAGCACAAGAAAGGAGAUGAUUGGGAUACAAAACUCUGUUGCUGUUGUUGCUGCUGCUGCUGCUGCUGGAUAAUGGUGAUUUUGUUGCAUUUGUUGUUGGUCGCCGAAAGAUAAACGGAGGCCCGUGGAGACAACAUUUGGUUGGGAUAGGUGCUGCUGGUUGUGGAGAUGGGAGAGGUCUAUUAGCUGAGGAGCUUGAGAUUGCAUAGAGAAUGGAUGGAUUGUUGGCCCUGUUGUGAUGCCACCAGUGGUCGUUGUAAUUGCUGCCGCCGCCGCCGCUGCUGAUGCCACUUCUCUUCCUCUCUUUCGUGGAUUAUUAGUCCCUCCAUUGGUGAAUAGCAUAUGGGAUU